RNAcentral lists this non-coding RNA (24 nucleotides) under Rattus norvegicus (Norway rat). The record is from RNAcentral. Lineage: Eukaryota; Metazoa; Chordata; Mammalia; Rodentia; Muridae.
UCUUUUGAGGUGCAUCAAGCCAAG